Molecule: long non-coding RNA, 4973 nt
Filed under: Dasypus novemcinctus (nine-banded armadillo)
Lineage: Eukaryota; Metazoa; Chordata; Mammalia; Cingulata; Dasypodidae
Description: lncRNA (ENSDNOG00000051191.1)
Source: RNAcentral
GGAAAAAAUAUGUAUUUUUAAGUUUUCAAAGCUUAGCCUCCCAGCACAUGGAGUACACAUGUCGACUUUCAGAACUUGGGGACACAAACGGAUUCAGAUGUUUAGUCCUUUGUCUUUACUGGUCUUGGCUCCCCUCGCCAGCUGAGUGUGGCACAAUCCAAACACAGUUUGUGAAAACAGAGCAGCUAAAGUUACUUCUAAAGCACCCUCUUGGGGACCGAUAAAGUCAAUCUCUGUUUAUGUAAUGAAAUCAGGGAGCAAGGAGGUCUGCUCUAGUACUUUGCGGAUGGGAUUCUGUUGAGGUUGUCUUUCAGGGAAAAGACUGGAUUUAAUCAGCCCUUAUUCAUAUUCACUUUCUCUGGAGGGUCAGUACAGACCUUCUGAUUUGUUGUGUCCUGAGACGUAUGUUUGGGUACCCAUCGAGCAGUGCCUGCCUUCCCUUGAAAACUCCAAGUACUGCCGUUUCAACCAGGACCCAGAAGCAGUGGAUGAAGGUCGCAGUAAGGAACCCGACCGGUUGCAGGUCUUUCACAAGAAAGCCAUUCUGCCUUACGGAGUUUAUAAGAAGCAGCAGAAAGACCCGCGCGAGGAGGCCGCUGUGCUGCAGUACGCCCGCCUGGUGGGGCAGGCGUGCUCUGAGAGGAUGCUGCUGUUCCGAAGCUGAGCGGCCCGUUCCACACGUGUCCCAGGCAAUCCUGCGCUGUGCCUAGGAGAUGUGCCUCAGUGCACGCCCGUCACCCUGGGGAAAUUCCGUAACCAACCAAAAAGUAGACUUUUAAAUUUUGACAAUUAUAUGGCUUUUCUAAAAUACUUUGUGGCAAUGUAUUUGUGAGACUCAUGAUACAGAUUUUGAAGAUAUGUUAUGACCUAUCCUUCUAAUUGGAGUUUAUCAUUUUGGGGGUUUUUGACAGAUUUGCUAAACUUACCUUGCUAACAUUUUAGAAAGUAAAAUUAAGAAGUGAGUUUAAAUCNNNNNNNNNNNNNNNNNNNNNNNNNNNNNNNNNNNNNNNNNNNNNNNNNNUUUGUAGUUUAAUAGAGAACUUGAAGAAAAGAAAGUACAAACAUUAAGGAAAACAAAAGGAUCUGGUAUUAGCAUCAGAUGUCUCUUUUCCCAGAACACUCCCAGUUUAUCUUGUCUUGGCAUGAUAUUUUUUCCCCUGGAAUAUUGUUACUAGUGCUCCCUUUUACAACAGCUUGGACAAUAAAAUAUAUGGCUAGCCUAGUUAUGCAUUACAUUAUUUGCUUUAUUUCUAAAAAUCUAAAAAAAAAAUUUAGUUUUUAAGAAUAAUAUUGCUUCCUGCCUUGAUCUAUCCUCCAUUGAUAAUAAAUAUAAGCUAAUUUUUCAUUCCUUAGAACUCAGGGCAUUUGUCUUGGGUUAUUGGUGAAAAUUAGCUCACAUCUGACCAUUUUCAUAGCUAAGCCAAGAAUUCCAUGUAAUUAAACAGGAAUCAUUUUGAGCUCUGAGUUCUAGAUCUAGAGUAAGAGGUGGAGCAAUCCAUUUCUUGCCCUUGGGUUUGGGAGUCAGAGGAGAUGCUGCACUUGGUAAUCAGGAACAGAGUCCAGCCUCUUCUUUUCCCUCUCCCUUUUUGAAUUACUUUGUCCAUUCAGCAAACGUCCCUUGCCCACUUUGUCAAGAUGGCAGGCUCUUUCCUGGGCACAAAGAUGGUUUGAACCAGACCUCGCCCUCAGGAGGACACAGUCCAGGAGGAGAAGCAGACAUGCCAGUAGCUAAGAGAUAGAGAGCAGGGUGUGUGGGAAUUGAGUUGUGUUGGAGACCUUGGAGAACAGAGGAGUAUUGUUUCUUUGUGCUUUCCCUUUCAGCUGAUGGCCAACUUCUGCUGCCAGCUGCUUGGCCCGCUGAGCCCUUUUCAGUCUCCGGAGAUUUUGUCCAUUUUUCUGUUGAUUGAUCUUUUUAAAAGCCUUAUUAUAAAACUUAGCAGUUUGAAUCCCACUACUGCAAUCAGCUAACUAUGUGAUUGUAAGCUUUUCUCCAAAAUGCACCAAAUUUAGAUCCAACAUUAGACAAUAAUUCUCAGCUAGCUAGUUUGUAGGAACCAUAAAAUGAUGGCUUUUUAAAAUCAGGUAACUAGGCACAGUCAACAUCCAAAUAGUAUUUAUUCACUCAAACUGUGUGUAUGUAUAACACCUGCCUUGUGCUAACAGGAGAUAGAGUCAGUGAGCAGAAACACUUGAUUUGAUCAUAUAGAUCUUACAUUCUUAUGAAAUUUUGUCCUUCAAAAAAGUCUUCCAAGAGCAGUUGGGAAAUUUUGGUUGAAAGUGCCCUCAGAAUCUAGAGAUAGAGAACAUUCUCUAAUGAAGGUAGCAUAAUUUCUUUAUGAUUAUAAAAAUCAUACUUGCUGUAAACAAUUCAAAUAAUAAGAAAGUAAAAAUAAUCUGAAAUCCCAUUAUACUCAGAGAGAGAGAGAAUUGCUGUCUCUACACAGACAAAAAUAAUUUUAAUACAAAACUGUACUUGCUAAUUUGUUUCUUCAACAGUAAGUUAUGGACAUACUUGAAAGAAACUUCACAAUGAGCUUUCAGAAAGUGUUUUGGGUGGCCUCAGUAGUUUUACAGUGAGCAAAGUGGGACCAGUAUUUGGUGUGCUUGGCAGCUUGUCCAAGUUUAGUUGCCAUCAAGGUCGCCACUCUUUGAGUAUCAAAAGAAGAGAAAACUUGAGUCUUACAUCUUAGCACAACUCUGAUUUCUUCCUACAGUUUGGAGUUCCUUCAGAGGAAAACGAUCAGUCACUCUGUCUGGGGGCCCAGCAGUUGACCCUGGAGGGUGGCAUUAGAUGCCCAGGUUAAUACCAGAGAAACUCCCGAGUGAGUUUGGCCAUGAAGAGUCUUUUACACAGUCGAUAUAUUUAGGCAUUGUUGUUGUCUUUUUUUAAAAUAGUGAAUUGAUCCUAAUAAUCUUCCUAAAGGAAGAUUGUGGUUGAGUGAAUAUUGAUCCUGGGCUAGAAAAGGACUGUCAAGGAAAAAUGACCGAACUUUUUCAGUUGGUAAUUAAUCUAGCUGAGAGAUUUGAUUUUAUGUUACUGACUUUCAUCUAAAGAAGACACAGAAUUUUUCAAAAGGAAUUUAUGAUUAUUUCAAGGCAGGAAAUGUAUUUGCAACCUUAGUGUUGCAGCCCCUUCUGAUUUCAAAUAAAUUCACCCCUACCUCCCCCCUGUCUGGGAAGCAAGCUUGUAAUAGAGGUUCCCCAUGCCGCUGUCAUUAUUUAAAUUAUAUCAGUUCUAUGAGAUCUUCGUUAUCUUACUAAAAAAUGUAAUCUGAGCACUUUUUACAUUCUAAAAAAUAGACACUAUUCACAGAUGAAUAUAUUAUUCACUUGUUGAUUAUAAUUACUUAGAUAAGAAAUUUUUACUGUUGAUGGUUGCCGUGAAAAUGGCCUAUCCUAUUUUUUUUUUAAAUCAGUUUUGCAAAGAUCAGUUUUGUGGCUUCGUAACAAACCAGAAUCUAUUAUGUAAAUGAACUAUUGCAAAUUUCUGAAAGGUUUGAUUUUGUAAGCAUUGUAUUAUUUCAAUAUGAAUAAAGAUGGGAAAGAAUAAUCUGACCAGUGAGCUAAAAUAUAUCUGUUGUUGCUAUCUUAAAAGAAUUAGAAGUUAAUGAUAUGGAAACAGUUGGGUAAUGUAUGAAUUAGAAGUUAUUUGAGUGUGCAUUCUUUCCCAAAACAAAACAACUAAGGCGAAACAAGUUUGAUUGCAUGUGAUUUUUUUUUCCUCUUCAAUGUGCUUUCUGAACAAUCCAUUUGAUAAGGCUUCAGUGGAUAAAAAAUAAAGCUGUUUCUAUCUGCAAUGACUCUUGCUAGUCCAUAAUUAAAAGACACGUUUUCAUCUAAUUCUUGCAUACAUUUCACCUGCAGUGAAUUUUGCAGAGAAUAAAGCAUUGACUUUAUGAACUGUAAAAUUUGAUUUCCUACCAUGGAAUUCCAGAUCAUUUAGUUAUCUAAGUUAAAGCAUGAUAGAUACCUUUCUCAGAAAUAAAGUAAAAUAAAUCUCACUUUAAGUCUGGAUUUUCACAAGAUAAAUUAGGGAAUAGACAUUCAUUUGUCUGAGGGUAUUCAGAAUAGACUUUAACCAGCACAGUCAAACGUAAUUUGUCUUAAAAGUUUAGUUCACAGAGAAAUUUUUGUUAAGUAUCUCAUAAAGCAAAUUAUAUGUUAAUUCGUAAUAGUCCACAGUAUAUUUAUGGAAUAUGUUUACAAAUCUUCCAUCUAUUUACAAUAAGGAGGAUCUGGUUGGUUGGUAAUAAAAUGAAUCCUAUUUUCCUAGUGAUUGAAAUAUUAGUAUAAUUCCCACUGACUUUUUUUUUCCCAGAAUGAAAAUAGCUUUGUUCUUUUUCUGUUGACAGGGUUUGUCAGAGACUAUUUAGACACUAUAGGAAAUAGAAAAUAAAAAUCACUUCUAAUCCCAUCACUGCUGUGGAGUCCCAUUCCCACUUUUGUCUGUGUCCUUCUGUAUUAGUCAGCCAAAGGGGUUCUGAUGCAAAAUACCAGAAAUUGGUUGGUUUUUAUAAAGGGCAUUUAUUUGGGGUAGGAACUUACAGAUAUCAGGCUAUAAAGCAUAAGUUACUUCCCUCACCAAAGUCUAUUUGGAGCAAGAGGCUGCUGACAUCUGCCAGGGUUCAGGCUUCCUGGGUUUCUCUCUUCCCGGGGCUCCAGCUUAAGGCUUCAGCAUCAGACUCCAACCUCAAAACUCCAACAUCAAAAAUCCUCAACUCUGUCCUUUGCCAUUCCUUUUAUCUGUGAGUCCCCACCCCUUGGUGGGCACAUCAGUGCCCUAAUGAUGUGGCCCAAACAAAACCCUAAUCAUAACUCCAUAAUGCUCAGGUACAACCAGAUUUUAAACAUAAUCCAAUAUCUAUUCUUGGAAUUCAUAACUAUAUCAAAUUGCUACACCUUCUAAACUUUUUUAUGUACAUCAUUGUGUAUAUUUUAUUUUAUUUUUAGAUAAAAUGGAAUCAUGCCCUGUC